Molecule: ribosomal RNA, 1475 nt
Filed under: human gut metagenome
Description: bacterial LSU rRNA
Rfam family: Bacterial large subunit ribosomal RNA
Source: RNAcentral
AGAACCCCGGCGAGGGGAGUGAAAAAGAACCUGAAACCGUGUACGUACAAGCAGUAGGAGCCCACUGGUUGGGUGACUGCGUACCUUUUGUAUAAUGGGUCAGCGACUUAUAUUCUGUAGCAAGGUUAACCGUAUAGGGGAGCCGCAGGGAAACCGAGUCUUAACUGGGCGUUAAGUUGCAGGGUAUAGACCCGAAACCCGGUGAUCUAGCCAUGGGCAGGUUGAAGGUUGGGUAACACUAACUGGAGGACCGAACCGACUAAUGUUGAAAAAUUAGCGGAUGACUUGUGGCUGGGGGUGAAAGGCCAAUCAAACCGGGAGAUAGCUGGUUCUCCCCGAAAGCUAUUUAGGUAGCGCCUCGUGAACUCAUCUUCGGGGGUAGAGCACUGUUUCGGCUAGGGGGUCAUCCCGACUUACCAACCCGAUGCAAACUACGAAUACCGAAGAAUGUUAUCACGGGAGACACACGGCGGGUGCUAACGUCCGUCGUGAAGAGGGAAACAACCCAGACCGCCAGCUAAGGUCCCAAAGUCAUGGUUAAGUGGGAAACGAUGUGGGAAGGCCCAGACAGCCAGGAUGUUGGCUUAGAAGCAGCCAUCAUUUAAAGAAAGCGUAAUAGCUCACUGGUCGAGUCGGCCUGCGCGGAAGAUGUAACGGGGCUAAACCAUGCACCGAAGCUGCGGCAGCGACGCUUAUGCGUUGUUGGGUAGGGGAGCGUUCUGUAAGCCGUUGAAGGUGUGCUGUGAGGCAUGCUGGAGGUAUCAGAAGUGCGAAUGCUGACAUAAGUAACGAUAAAGCGGGUGAAAAGCCCGCUCGCCGGAAGACCAAGGGUUCCUGUCCAACGUUAAUCGGGGCAGGGUGAGUCGACCCCUAAGGCGAGGCCGAAAGGCGUAGUCGAUGGGAAACAGGUUAAUAUUCCUGUACUCGGUGUUACUGCGAAGGGGGGACGGAGAAGGCUAUGUUGGCCGGGCGACGGUUGUCCCGGUUUAAGCAUGUAGGCGGAUGUUCCAGGUAAAUCCGGAACGUUAUUAACGCUGAGGUGUGAUGACGAGGCACUACGGUGCUGAAGUGACAAAUGCCCUGCUUCCAGGAAAAGCCUCUAAGCAUCAGGUAACAUCAAAUCGUACCCCAAACCGACACAGGUGGUCAGGUAGAGAAUACCAAGGCGCUUGAGAGAACUCGGGUGAAGGAACUAGGCAAAAUGGUGCCGUAACUUCGGGAGAAGGCACGCUGAUGGUAGGUGAAGCGACUUGCUCGUGGAGCUGAAAUCAGUCGAAGAUACCAGCUGGCUGCAACUGUUUAUUAAAAACACAGCACUGUGCAAACACGAAAGUGGACGUAUACGGUGUGACGCCUGCCCGGUGCCGGAAGGUUAAUUGAUGGGGUUAUCCUCGCGGAGAAGCUCUUGAUCGAAGCCCCGGUAAACGGCGGCCGUAACUAUAACGGUCCUAAGGUAGCGAAAUUCCUUGUCGGGU